GUGGGGAAUUUUGGACAAUGGGCGCAAGCCUGAUCCAGCAAUGCCGCGUGCAGGAAGAAGGCCUUCGGGUUGUAAACUGCUUUUGUACGGAACGAAACGGUCCGGGUUAAUACCCUGGGCUAAUGACGGUACCGUAAGAAUAAGCACCGGCUAACUACGUGCCAGCAGCCGCGGUAAUACGUAGGGUGCAAGCGUUAAUCGGAAUUACUGGGCGUAAAGCGUGCGCAGGCGGUUUUGUAAGACAGGCGUGAAAUCCCCGGGCUCAACCUGGGAAUUGCGCUUGUGACUGCAAGGCUGGGGUGCGGCAGAGGGGGAUGGAAUUCCGCGUGUAGCAGUGAAAUGCGUAGAUAUGCGGAGGAACACCGAUGGCGAAGGCAAUCCCCUGGGCCUGCACUGACGCUCAUGCACGAAAGCGUGGGGAGCAAACAGGAUUAGAAACCCUGGUAGUCC
Molecule: ribosomal RNA, 450 nt
Filed under: uncultured bacterium
Lineage: Bacteria
Description: partial 16S ribosomal RNA
Rfam family: Bacterial small subunit ribosomal RNA
Source: RNAcentral